This 274-nucleotide ribosomal RNA is filed under the name uncultured bacterium. Its description in RNAcentral is "partial 16S ribosomal RNA". It matches the Rfam family "Bacterial small subunit ribosomal RNA", at positions 523 to 796 of the family's 1533-position model. The record is from RNAcentral.
AUACGGAGGGUGCAAGCGUUAAUCGGAAUUACUGGGCGUAAAGCGUACGUAGGCGGUUAUUUAAGUCAGAUGUGAAAGCCCCGGGCUUAACUUGGGAACUGCAUUUGAAACUGGGUAACUAGAGUUUAGUAGAGGGGAGUGGAAUUUCAGGUGUAGCGGUGAAAUGCGUAGAGAUCUGAAGGAACACCAGUGGCGAAGGCGACUCCCUGGACUAGAACUGACGCUGAGGUACGAAAGCGUGGGUAGCAAACAGGAUUAGAAACCCGUGUAGUCC